RNAcentral lists this ribosomal RNA (442 nucleotides) under Staphylococcus chromogenes. RNAcentral's name for it is "partial 23S ribosomal RNA". It matches the Rfam family "Bacterial large subunit ribosomal RNA", at positions 1 to 436 of the family's 2925-position model. The record is from RNAcentral. Lineage: Bacteria; Bacillati; Bacillota; Bacilli; Caryophanales; Staphylococcaceae.
GAUUAAGUUAUUAAGGGCGCACGGUGGAUGCCUUGGCACUAGAAGCCGACGAAGGACGUUACUAACAACGAUAUGCUUUGGGGAGCUGUAAGUAAGCUGUGAUCCAGAGAUUUCCGAAUGGGGGAACCCAGCACGAGUUAUGUCGUGUUAUCCGCAUGUGAAUACAUAGCAUGUGAGAAGGUAGACCCGGAGAACUGAAACAUCUUAGUACCCGGAGGAAGAGAAAGAAAAAUCGAUUCCCUGAGUAGCGGCGAGCGAAACGGGAAGAGCCCAAACCAACAAGCUUGCUUGUUGGGGUUGUAGGACACUCUGUACGGAGUUACAAAGGAAUAUGUUAGACGAAUAACCUGGAAAGGUUAAUCAGAGAAGGUAAAAAUCCUGUAGUCGAAAACAUCUUCCCUCCUGAGUGGAUCCUGAGUACGGCGGAGCACGUGAAAUUCCG